GGAGAGGUGUCCGAGUGGCUUAAGGAGCACGCUUGGAAAGCGUGUAUACCCUAACCGGGUAUCGGGGGUUCGAAUCCCCCUCUCUCCGCCA
RNAcentral lists this transfer RNA (91 nucleotides) under Fidelibacterota bacterium. Its description in RNAcentral is "tRNA-Ser". It matches the Rfam family "tRNA". Rfam says of the family: Transfer RNA (tRNA) molecules are approximately 80 nucleotides in length. Their secondary structure includes four short double-helical elements and three loops (D, anti-codon, and T loops). Further hydrogen bonds mediate the characteristic L-shaped molecular structure. tRNAs have two regions of fundamental functional importance: the anti-codon, which is responsible for specific mRNA codon recognition, and the 3' end, to which the tRNAs corresponding amino acid is attached (by aminoacyl-tRNA synthetases). tRNAs cope with the degeneracy of the genetic code in two manners: having more than one tRNA (with a specific anti-codon) for a particular amino acid; and 'wobble' base-pairing, i.e. permitting non-standard base-pairing at the 3rd anti-codon position. Lineage: Bacteria; Pseudomonadati; Fidelibacterota. The record is from RNAcentral.